UCUCCGUAGGUGAACCUGCGGAGGGAUCAUUACAGAGUUCGUGCCCUCGCGGGUAGAUCUCCCACCCUGUGUUAUUGCUACCUUUGUUGCUUUGGCGAGCCGCCCUCGGUUACCGGCCCCGGCUGGUACGCGCCCGCCAGAGGACCCCAAACCCUGAACGUCAGUGUCGUCUGAGUACUAUACAAUAGUUAAAACUUUCAACAACGGAUCUCUUGGUUCUG
This 221-nucleotide unclassified non-coding RNA is filed under the name plant metagenome. RNAcentral describes it as "partial contains small subunit ribosomal RNA, internal transcribed spacer 1, and 5.8S ribosomal RNA". The record is from RNAcentral.